This 1252-nucleotide long non-coding RNA is filed under the name Callithrix jacchus (white-tufted-ear marmoset). RNAcentral's name for it is "lncRNA (ENSCJAG00000079743.1)". The stretch from base 463 to 597 matches the Rfam family "Myocardial infarction associated transcript exon 1". The record is from RNAcentral. Lineage: Eukaryota; Metazoa; Chordata; Mammalia; Primates; Cebidae.
CUCGCCAGUGUAGCCCUUGGCGUUAUUCCAGGACCAGCGUCUUCUGUACGCUUACUCUGGGGUUCAGACUUCUGCGCCCCUGGCCGGCGGUGGCGCGCCUCCUCCACGCCUCUCUCCAGCCCUGAGCUCUCUGCGGCCGAAAGUGGCCGGGCAAGCGUUGCCAUGACAGCACCGCGGGUGGGGAUGCGGAGGGCAGAGCGCGCCGGCCCGCUAGCCCCUUUGUGCGGAAGGGGCGGCGGUGUGCUCCCCCCAGCCCGGCUGCACCCCGCUUUCCCGGCCAGGACUCUGGGCGAGGGAAAGGGGAGGGUUAGGUGUGGGGCUGUAGGGGCGCAAGGAGGAGGGAGAAGGGUGGAGGCGAGGGCCGCGGGUGGGGCGCCUCCGCCCGCCAGCCGCUCCCGCAUUAAAAUUUCAUGGGCGCUGCAGCAGCUACAAAGACGACGCCGGCUGCGCUCGGGGGACCGGAGGGAGGGAGGCUGCGGACGAGUGCGGGGAGGAGUUUGAGGUGGGAGGUGCUUGCAGGGACUCCCCCAGUUCUGCGCUGUGAGCCGGGGCACAAAGAGCCCUCUGCACUCGCGCCGCAGGACCGCGGACCCGAGAGCCUGCCAUUCCUUCACUUCUGGGACUCAAAUCCCGGAUGUCCGGCGUCCAAUUUGGCUCCCAAAGGAUGGAGAGGGCUGGUAACUUACCCUCGCUGAAAACAACAGUGACAUCAGUUUAUGGAGAGGUUACUCUACGCCAGGGACCUGCUUGGUGCUUUGCAAACGUUAUCACAACAAUUCCACGAGGUGUGAGAAUUUUGGGCUGGGCAAGGUGGCUCACAUCUGCAAUUCAGCACUUUGGGAGGCUGAGGCGGGAGGAGUUCAAGACAAGCCUGGGUAACAUGGUCCUUUCUCUGGCUGUGAUCCAUGCUUCUUCCCCGGGCAGGAUGACACUCUUUGAAUUUCCUUAUUCAUCAAGGCAGUGCAGGGUGGUGGAAGGAGACGCAGCUGAGAGUUAUGCAGUUGGAGGCAUCUGUCCACCCACGUGGUUCCAGACACCUUCAUGUGGCCACCAUAACCCCAUCGGCAUCACAGGAGUAGCCAAGGUCCACAGAGCCAGGGGAAACAGUCACUGUGGACCAAGCCAGGCUCCUCUGAGCAGCCCAGGGUCUAUUUACAGAGAGCAGCAAGUUCCUGGGACAGAGGAGAGAGAAGGGAAUUUCCAGGUUCUUCAGGACGUUCACAACCAUGCUGAGAAGCAUCCUUGCAGAUAA